CCACCUCUAAUUACCAAUUUAAUACAGAAUAAUUUGAAUCCUGUACAUUUAUCUAAUUACCAUACCAUCUAAUUUCUAACUUGCCAUUUGUAUAAAAAAUAUGGAAUAGGCUGUUGUCUCUGACGUGACAUACAGUCAAGUAUAGUGACCCAUAUUUAGAAUUCGUGCUCUGCAUUUAACCCAUCCAAAGUGCACACACACAGCAGUGAACACACACACCAGUGGGCAGCCUGGGGAGCAGUUGGGGGUUCGGUGCCUUGCUCAAGGGCACCUCAGUCGUGGUAUUGUCAGCCCGAGACUCGAACCCACAACCUUAGGGUUAGGAGUCAAACUCUCUAACCAUUAGGCCACGACUUCCCCCCCAAACACUUGAUAAUAACCGUGGAACACACAGCACUAUUUAUAUUUAUAUACACAUACACUUAUUUAUCUAACACACAUACUUAGUGUACACUUAAAUUUUUGUACAUAAUAUACCUGUACAUACAUAACUGCCUAUUGUAAUAUACAGUAGGUAGACAUCCAAAACGUCACUUCUACCGCCGCUCGUACCGCCGCCGCGGCGUCUGCAAAGUGCAUUUGCAGCUUUUGACCGCUGAGUGGCGCUUUAAUCACAAGUUUUUCAAACAAGCGCAUCAAAGCACAUUUUCGCAAAUAGACGUCAGUUUUGCCUCUCUGAUGUGUUACAUUUGACGGCUGCAGUCAGGGAAAAUGAAAGAAAAACACUAUAGUUAAAAAUAUUUAAUAUUCACAGAUGAAAGUUUGGUAAUUAUAAAGUUAUGUGCAUUUCUUAGAACGAAUUCAAGGAGGAUAAAUGUCAAGCCUGUGCCUGAGCCUGUGCUUAUAUUUUCUCUAAGCUACACAGUAUUACACCAUAUUUUAGAUUUGACACAUUUAAUAGGUGUGCAGUAUUAUUUAUAUAAUAUGAAUUAUGUGUUAUAUUAUUCAAAAGAAAUUGUGGUUUACUUUGCAUCAGAGCAUUAAAAGUGGUAGCAUAGUGAGCUAGGCUUGCGUGUUUUAUAAAUUAUUUUCUUUAUUUUAGUAAAACGUGAGGCACUGAAUAAUUUCGCUCCCAUUAUUUAGGCCUAAUUAAAACAAGAAAUGAAUAAAUUAAACCUGCACAAUUUAACUAAAUCAUUGAAACUCUAAAGAAUGGAAUGAAAGAAUUCAUGAUUAAACUCAAGUUCUCUUAUUAUAAUCAACAAAAUACACACAAUGUAAAAAAGAGCUUCAUUAAUUGACAACUUCAGUCUUCUUUAAUUGCUUUCAUGUAAUUUAAGUUAAAUAAAUAAAUAAAUAAAUAAAUAAAUAAAUUGUAGCCACAUUUAAAUGCAGGUUUGUAUAAUAUUCCUUAAAAUAUCAGUGCAAGAUUUGCUCUGCGCAUGAAGCUGAGUGCUCGCAGCAUUUAUUCUUAUUUGUCUACAUAUUUUAUCUUCAUUACAAAUCUUGUUUGGUUUUAUUUGGGAUAAUUGCUUUGUAAUGCAUAUGCAAAAUGUGAAUUAUUAUUCAUAUUCAAGUGUUUGUGUGAAAAUUAUUAAUGUGCAUGCAUGACAGGGAGGCGCCCUCUAGGCCACGUGAUUUUUUUUCCUGAUAAUGAAAUAACUGAAAAUGGUGGUGUCUCACAUACAUGAGAAAUAUAUCUACAGAAAGCUUGAAAUGUCUUUUAAACUAAUCAAUUCAACACGAAAGCAUUAUGUAAUCUGUGAGAGUUGUAUUUCUCUCUAAAGGCGCGUCCAUGUGGAGAGCGUCAGCACUGUGAAUUUCAUCUUGCAGCCAACAAGAAAACAUUUGUUUAUUAAUAAAUAAUUAAAAUGUCUCUUUUUUCACAAUUAUUAGGCUAUUUCUGCCUGUGCUUUGUGGCAAACUUAAUGCAUGUGCUUGAGCGUGGAAUAUAUUAAGGCUCAUUAUGGAUUAUAGAUGUAAAUUUAAUAUAAACCUGCGAUUAGUUGAAUGAUGACAAAUUAACGACUAGUAACUAGAAAAAUCUUACGAGGCAGACCUAUUAAAUACCCUCUCGACAUCUCUGUUAAAGUUUUGAAAGCAUUUUAUACGCGUUUGCAUAAAUUCUUCUUUCUUCACUGCAGAGCUACCAGUUUUAAUCUGAACAGCUCUUAAUGCUGAGUGGAUGGUUAGAUGCAUGAUGGGCUAGUAUUAAAAAAAUAAAUAAAUAAAAUAAAGGUCUUUCCAGCAUUAAGGUAAUAACAUUAGCUACUGCUUUUUUUUUAAUCAUCUUGUUUCAGUUAUAAAUUUGAUUGGUAAAUGAUAAAGAAUUAUAUGAAAACUUGUUUUGAACAAUUUAUUUGUCAUUUGAAUAUUGAUUUUAAGUAGGGAGGCAAAAAAAAAAACGAUUUAAAUCAUAAAUAGGCCAUUGCCCAGCCCUAAUGCAACAGUUUUUUUUUUUUUUUAGUUAAAGGCAACUUCCUCUGAAAUUAAGUUAUAAUAACUAAAAAACUUUAUUGCGCUAUACAGUAGUCAACAUUUGAAGUGGAUCAAACCUUUCUUUAAAGUUGUUUUAAAACCAAUAUGUCCUAAAAACCUGUUCUGCAAGUUUGAAACCCUCAUAAGACUGUCCAUAUGAAAGACCAAGAGAUUCACACCUUUAACUCGACCCCCACAAGCUAUACAGAACUACCC
Cyprinus carpio carpio is the source of this 2634-nucleotide long non-coding RNA. The record is from Ensembl. Lineage: Eukaryota; Metazoa; Chordata; Actinopteri; Cypriniformes; Cyprinidae.